Molecule: ribosomal RNA, 671 nt
Filed under: uncultured archaeon
Lineage: Archaea
Description: bacterial SSU rRNA
Rfam family: Archaeal small subunit ribosomal RNA
Source: RNAcentral
UUCGCCCUUUUCCGGUUGAUCCUGCCGGACCCGACUGCUAUCAGAGUGAGAUUAAGCCAUGCGAGUUAACGUAGCAAUACGUGGCGCACGGCUCAGUAACACGUAGUCAACAUGCCCAGAGGACGUGGAUAACCUCGGGAAACUGAGUCUAAACCGCGAUAAGUGAGGAUUUCUGGAAUGGUUCCUGACUAAAAUCUAUAUGGCCUCUGGAUUGGACUGCGGCCGAUCAGGCUGUUGGUGAGGUAAUGGCCCACCAAACCUGUAACCGGUACGGGCUCUGAGAGGAGGAGCCCGGAGAUGGGCACUGAGACAAGGGCCCAGGCCCUAUGGGGCGCAGCAGGCGCGAAACCUCUGCAAUAGGCGAAAGCCUGACAGGGUUACUCUGAGUGACUUUCGCUAAGAAAGUCUUUUGGCACCUCUAAAAAGGGUGCAGAAUAAGGGGUGGGCAAGUCUGGUGUCAGCCGCCGCGGUAAUACCAGCACCCCGAGUGGUCGGGACGAUUAUUGGGCCUAAAGCAUCCGUAGCCGGUUCUGCAAGUCCCCCGUUAAAUCCAGCUGCUCAACAGAUGGGCCGCGGAGGAUACUACAGAGCUAGGAGGCAGGAGAGGCAAGCGGUACUCAGUGGGUAGGGGUAAAAUCCGUUGAUCCAUUGAAGACCACCAGUGGCGAAGG